AGUGAACGCUGGCGGUAGGCCUAACACAUGCAAGUCGAACGGCAGCACAGUAAGAGCUUGCUCUUACGGGUGGCGAGUGGCGGACGGGUGAGGAAUACAUCGGAAUCUACUUUUUCGUGGGGGAUAACGUAGGGAAACUUACGCUAAUACCGCAUACGACCUACGGGUGAAAGCAGGGGAUCUUCGGACCUUGCGCGAUUGAAUGAGCCGAUGUCGGAUUAGCUAGUUGGCGGGGUAAAGGCACACCAAGGCGACGAUCCGUAGCUGGUCUGAGAGGAUGAACAGACACACUGGAACUGAGACACGGUCCAGACUCCUACGGGAGGCAGCAGUGGGGAAUAUUGGACAAUGGGCGCAAGCCUGAUCCAGCCAUACCGCGUGGGUGAAGAAGGACUUCGGGUUGUAAAGCCCUUUUGUUGGGAAAGAAAAGCAGCAGGUUAAUACCCCGCUGUUCUGACGGUACCCAAAGAAUAAGCACCGGCUAACUUCGUG
RNAcentral lists this ribosomal RNA (492 nucleotides) under uncultured bacterium. RNAcentral describes it as "partial 16S ribosomal RNA". It matches the Rfam family "Bacterial small subunit ribosomal RNA", at positions 29 to 507 of the family's 1533-position model. The record is from RNAcentral.